Molecule: long non-coding RNA, 784 nt
Filed under: Setaria italica (foxtail millet)
Lineage: Eukaryota; Viridiplantae; Streptophyta; Magnoliopsida; Poales; Poaceae
Description: long non-coding RNA (SITA_LNC001736)
Source: RNAcentral
ACCACCUGUUCGACCUGGAGAAGGGCCGGUUCUACGCGGUGAUGGACUGCUUCUGCGAGAAGACGUGGAGCCACACCCCGCAGUACAAGAUCGGCUACUGCCAGCAGUGCCCCGACAAGGUCACCUGGCCGGAGCAUGAGCUGGGCCCUCCGCCGCCGCGCUACUUCAACGCCGGCAUGUUCGUGCACGAGCCGAGCCUGGGCACGGCCAAGGACCUCCUGGACGCGCUGGUGGUGACGCCGCCGACGCCGUUCGCGGAGCAGGACUUCCUCAACAUGUUCUUCCGCGACGUCUACGAGCCCAUCCCGCCGGUGUACAACCUGGUGCUGGCCAUGCUGUGGAGGCACCCCGAGAACGUGAAGCCGCUCGACAAGGUCAAGGUCGUGCACUACUGCGCAGCGGUACGUGUCGCCGUUUGUUUUUUUCUUGCUCAUCAUCAAUUGUAUUUGUACGUAACGAUGGAUGAGAUUGAUACUAAUGAACUGCAACUCGAUCAAAUGCGUAGGGUUCCAAGCCUUGGAGGUACACGGGUGAGGAGGCCAACAUGGACCGCGAGGACAUCAAGAUGCUGGUGAGCAAGUGGUGGGACAUCUUCAACGACGAGAGCCUGGACUACAAGGGCCCGGCGGUGGACGACGACGGGGCGGAGGUGGUGGACCAGGCGAGGGAGCCGCUGCGGCAGGCUCUGGCCGAGGCCGGCGCCGCCAAGUUCUUCCCGGCGCCGUCGGCAGCCUAGGCGGAGCGAUCGGUUCCGUUGAAGGAGGCCGUUAAUAAUACUGUACGG